UUUUCUUUUUUCCCUUUUUUUUUCAAUUUUUUUUAUUGCAUUUCUUUUGAAAAAUAAACAUGUUAUGAUGCACAUGAUGCAGACACGACUGGCAAGCUGUGCAUCUCUGAACACAGGAUCGAAGCUUCGGCUCGAACUCUGAUCACAAUCAUCUGAAACCCAAAGUCAACUGGUCAACUGAACCAUAUCCACAUCUGAGCAUCCUCAAAUUCAGCCCA
This 218-nucleotide long non-coding RNA is filed under the name Lathyrus oleraceus (garden pea). Its description in RNAcentral is "Pisum sativum (pea) long non-coding RNA (PSAT_LNC040098)". The record is from RNAcentral. Lineage: Eukaryota; Viridiplantae; Streptophyta; Magnoliopsida; Fabales; Fabaceae.